This 228-nucleotide unclassified non-coding RNA is filed under the name Hevea brasiliensis (rubber tree). Lineage: Eukaryota; Viridiplantae; Streptophyta; Magnoliopsida; Malpighiales; Euphorbiaceae. The record is from RNAcentral.
GUCACUUCAGUCUAGUUAACCACAAUUGUAAUUUUUAUAUUAUAAAUCUAUAUCAUAAUUUUUUUUUUUGAUAUGGAGACAAAUGACCUUUGUUGGUUUGACCAAUAAGGGUGUUGACUAUUAUGGAGAGGAGUACUUAGAGUUUUCAUCUUUCUUGAUCUUUACUUAGAUGAAUAGAAUAACAAAAACAGCAAUGCACUUGAGGGCUUAUUUUUUUCCUUGAUUUUU